This 167-nucleotide small RNA is filed under the name Dasypus novemcinctus (nine-banded armadillo). Its description in RNAcentral is "TUC338 (ENSDNOG00000035432.1)". The record is from RNAcentral. Lineage: Eukaryota; Metazoa; Chordata; Mammalia; Cingulata; Dasypodidae.
CUGGCAGUCAUGGAAACUGAAGUCCUCCUUUUGUAUCCACAGGACAGACACAGUUGGUCCACUCCAGUGUGAACCUCUCCAUGCUGCCCCAUCAUUGACCUGGAGGGUUUCUCUCUCUUAGAAAGAUAGGAUGUUUGUUCUCCAUAGCAGCUCAGUUUGGAUCCUCU